GUACCAAUUUUAUUAUAUAUUCAUUUUUUAUGAUUAAUUAUAAAAUUACAUUUAAGUCCUACUUUGGCCAAUUUUUAAGGAUGGCUUCCGCUUUUGCUAUAGUAACUCGCCUAAACUUUAUAAUAGUCUGCACCUUGAUCUGUUCUACUAGUUAUUAACUAAUGAGAUAGUAUAUUAUAUAUUAUCUGAUGACGACGGCAUACAAAAUAUCACAUAAAGUAGAUUACCUUGGUGGUUAUCAAUUACUUGGUAAGUUCCCCUAAAUUUUAAAAUUACCGCCAUGCUAUUUGAGUUUUAACCUUAAGAGGUCUUAGUGCUCAGUGUGGUAUUAUAAGUAUUGUAUAAAAGGGUAUCUAAUCCUUGUUUAUGAUCAAUAUUAGGUUAUUGUAAGUAGAUUAUAAAAGUUAAUAAAUAUCAUUUCACCAAUAUAGGUGCUAUAAGCUUAUUACACUGUGGGAGUUUACCACUAUAAAAGUCUGACCGCGACUGCUGGCACUUUUUUGAUCAUAGUGGGAUAAAGUGGUUUAAUCUAACUUUCGUAAAUUUUAAAUUUUCUUGCCUGGUUAUUUCUAUUAAUACCAUAAGUAUCCGGUUUAAUGUAAACAUUGAACCAU
Molecule: ribosomal RNA, 614 nt
Filed under: Euhadra idzumonis
Lineage: Eukaryota; Metazoa; Mollusca; Gastropoda; Stylommatophora; Camaenidae
Description: partial 12S ribosomal RNA
Source: RNAcentral